RNAcentral lists this ribosomal RNA (429 nucleotides) under uncultured Anaerolineaceae bacterium. Its description in RNAcentral is "bacterial SSU rRNA". It matches the Rfam family "Bacterial small subunit ribosomal RNA", at positions 938 to 1382 of the family's 1533-position model. Lineage: Bacteria; Bacillati; Chloroflexota; Anaerolineae; Anaerolineales; Anaerolineaceae. The record is from RNAcentral.
CGUGUGGUUUAAUCGUUGCUACACGAAGAACCUUACCUGGGUUUGACAUAUAGGUUGUAGGGAACUGAAAAGGGACCGACCUUCGGGGAGCCUAUACAGGUGUUGCAUGGCUGUCGUCAGCUCGUGUCGUGAGAUGUUCGGUUAAGUCCGCUAACGAGCGCAACCCUCGUCGUAUGUUAUAUGUGUCAUACGAGACUGCCGGUAAAAGCCGGAGGAAGGUGAGGAUGAUGUCAAGUCAGCAUGACCUUUAUAUCCAGGGCUACACACACGCUACAAUGGUCUGUACAAUGGGUAGCCAAGCCGCGAGGCGGAGCCAAUCCUGAAAGCAAGGCCUCAGUUCAGAUUGCAGUCUGCAACUCGACUGCAUGAAGCCGGAGUUGCUAGUAACCGCAGGUCAGCAAUACUGCGGUGAAUACGUUCCCGGGUCUU